RNAcentral lists this unclassified non-coding RNA (244 nucleotides) under plant metagenome. RNAcentral's name for it is "partial contains small subunit ribosomal RNA and internal transcribed spacer 1". The stretch from base 1 to 46 matches the Rfam family "Eukaryotic small subunit ribosomal RNA", at positions 1786 to 1831 of the family's 1831-position model. The record is from RNAcentral.
AAGUCGUAACAAGGUCUCCGUUGGUGAACCAGCGGAGGGAUCAUUAUAGAGUUUUCUAAACUCCCAACCCAUGUGAACUUACCCAUUGUUGCCUCGGCAGAAGCUACCUGGUUACCCUACCUUGGAACGGCCUACCCUGUAGCGCCUUACCCUGGAACGGCCUACCCUGUAACGGCUGCCGGUGGACUACCAAACUCUUGUUAUUUUAUUGUAAUCUGAGCGCCUUAUUUUUAAUAAGUCAAAA